AAAGGAAGGAAGGUAGUUAGGAAGAAAAGAGUAAGGGAUAGAGAAAGAUUGGAAAGAGAGAGUGAGAGUGGAGGUUCGAAAAACGUGUUGAGAGUCUCGACGGGGCUGACACCCCGAGUAGAAUAGGUGUCCUAUCGGUAAGAGAAAUAACGAAUCAAGAGGUGUAAGAAAGAGUGAGGAAGAAUUGUGAAGGGGAGUGGAUAAGCGCAAGUAAGCAAGCGAGUAGCAGUAGCAACAGCAGCAGCAGCAGCAGUAGCAGCAGCAGUAAUAGUAUAGAGAGGUGUAGUAUAAAGGGAAAGAAAAGAUAGGAAAGAAAAGGAGGAGAGGAGAGAGGGAGGGAGGGAGGCCGUCGCGACGGACGUCGCUGGACGUCGCUGGACGUCGCGUGGAAGAUACAAGUAAUAAAGUCAAAUCGACGAAACGCUGAUUCUUCCCUGUGUGUCUGAUGAGCUCCUCCGUCGUACCGUUGGUGGUAAGAUGGCUGUGCAGCUGGAUGGAGGAGGGAAGGAGGUCUUGAAAACACAAUUCGCCACGCGGGAAGGAACUUACAAGCUGAUGACCUUGUCAGAAUAUUCGAGGCCGAACAGGGUCGGCUACACCAACAGCCAAGGGAGUGCAUCCGUCAGAGUUUCCUUCGUCACUUUGCCAGACUCUUCGAAUCCCUCAGGGGCUACGCAAGAGCACGACGACCGAAUGUGUUUUAAUUUCGGAAAGGAGCUCUACGUCUACGUUUAUCGUGGUGUCAAAAAGGCAGUGGAUUUGAACAAUCCUGUGGAAAAGAAAACAUAUAAGGGAACUAAUCCGACUUGCCACAAUUUUAAUCAAACUACAGCAACGGCAGAUAGUGCACCAUUAUUAGUAGGAUUUUCUACAGGACAAAUACAAUUGAUAGAUCCUAUAAAACAAGAAUUCAGUAAAUUGUAUAAUGAAGAUAGACUAAUAGACAAAAGUAAGGUAACUUGCAUAAAAUGGGUUCCUGGUUCAAAUAAUCUCUUCUUGGUCUCUCAUAGUUCGGGUCAACUAUAUUUAUAUAAUGAGGAACUUAUUUGUGGAACGACGGCUCCUCACUAUCAGUCAUUUAUGUCUGGCGAUGGUUAUGCUGUAUACGUGUGCAAAGCUAAAUCUACCAGGAACCCUCUGUACAGAUGGGUGAUAGGUGCAGAGGGAUGUUGCAUAAAUGAAUUUGCCUUCAGUCCUUGUGGUUCAAACUUGGCAGUUGUUUCUCAAGAUGGAUUUCUUAGAGUAUUCCAAUAUAAUAAAAUGGAACUUUUAGGAUCUGCAAGAAGUUACUUUGGUGGAUUUUUGUGCGUAUGUUGGUCGCCGGAUGGUAGAUACGUGGUAGUUGGAGGAGAAGAUGAUCUUGUAACUAUUUGGAGCUUUCAUGAAAAACGGGUGGUGGCCCGUGGACAAGGUCAUCACAGUUGGGUGAGCGUUGUUGCAUUUGAUCCAUAUACUACAUCAUACGGAGAUCAAGAUCCUGACUUUAGCGGAUCAGAUGAUGAAACGAUGCCUCAUAAUAACCAUAAUCAUUUUCAUGAAAAGUCAAAUCGUUUGUCAACAAGUUCGCAAGGAGUUCAUUCCAAUAGGAACUCUAGUGGGUCUGAACUGAGAGUGCCAGGUGGUACGUGCUACAGGCUUGGAAGCGUAUCGCAAGAUACCCAAUUGUGUUUGUGGGACAUCACAGAAGAUAUAUUAAGGCAACCAGUAUGUCCUAAGCAGAGACCUUCUGCCGCAGGCUCUACUACCUUCACUUCCUCGGGGACACAUAAUAGCGGUAAUGGCUCAAUGGCUAAUCAUCACUUGAACAAUUCUAAACUGAAUAAUACAAAUAAUAUAAAUUAUAAGGAAAACGUGAGUGGUAAUAAUGAAAGUAGUAACAAUAGCGCGAGUACCAACACAGCAGUGUCGACAGUAAAUUCAUUGACACAGAGGCUAGCAGGUCUUGGUUUUGGUGAACGUAAGGGUGAUAAUCACAAGAGGAACUUCAGCCUCACUAUGAGAGGUAGUGGUGCAUCUAAUAGCACGGUCGUGCAAAACAAUAGUGGGGAAAAAACGAGCACCAACUCGAAUUCGAGUAGUAAUAUGAACAGUGUUGGUGCAAGUUUAGUAGGUGCAAAUAAGAAGGUCAGUUCGGUGUUGGACGAUCCAAUGAGAUUAAUAGGAACUGCCUAUUGUCCGAGGUUCGACGAAUGCCCAGUCCUUCAGCCAUUGGUGUGCAAAAAGCUGGCGCAUGAGAGAUUGACUGAAUUAGUGUUUAGGAAAGAUUGCUUCGUAACCGCGUGUCAAGAUGGAUACGUAUAUACAUGGGCAAGACCAGGUCACAUGUGACAGUCUUAUAAUUUAAUCGGAAGAUGCUUGCGCUUGUUUCUUAAAGCCGGUGGGGCAUUAAUUUUUUACUUUGAUUGGAAAGAUUAAUGUUCUGUACCAAUGCUUUGGCUGAUGCAAGAGAAUCGUGGAUGAGACUUCCCUGAGUUAUCGCAUGGCAUUGGACAGGUUGGUAAUGCCCUACACGUUGUCAGUCCAGCAGAAGGUGGGGGUACUAUAGUAUAGCCACAGUCUGAUACAAAUGUAG
RNAcentral lists this unclassified non-coding RNA (2572 nucleotides) under Polistes dominula (European paper wasp). RNAcentral describes it as "wD repeat-containing protein 20, transcript variant X2". Lineage: Eukaryota; Metazoa; Arthropoda; Insecta; Hymenoptera; Vespidae. The record is from RNAcentral.